GUGUCAGCAGCCGCGGUAAUACGGAGGGUGCGAGCGUUAAUCGGAAUUACUGGGCGUAAAGCGCACGUAGGCGGUCAGGCAAGUCGGGUGUGAAAGCCCUGGGCUCAACCUGGGAAUUGCAUUCGAAACUAUCUGACUCGAGUAUGGGAGAGGGAAGCGGAAUUUCCGGUGUAGCGGUGAAAUGCGUAGAUAUCGGAAGGAACACCAGUGGCGAAGGCGGCUUCCUGGACUAAUACUGACGCUGAGGUGCGAAAGCGUGGGGAGCAAACAGGAUUAGAUACCCCCGUAGUCC
Molecule: ribosomal RNA, 292 nt
Filed under: uncultured bacterium
Lineage: Bacteria
Description: partial 16S ribosomal RNA
Rfam family: Bacterial small subunit ribosomal RNA
Source: RNAcentral